GACGAACGCUGGCGGCGUGCUUAACACAUGCAAGUCGAACGGAAAGGCCCUGCUUUUGUGGGGUGCUCGAGUGGCGAACGGGUGAGUAACACGUGAGUAACCUGCACUUGACUUUGGGAUAACUUCAGGAAACUGGGGCUAAUACCGGAGAGGAGCUCCUGCUGCAUGGUGGUGGUUGGAAAGUUUCGGCGGUUGGGGAUGGACUCGCGGCUUAUCAGCUUGUUUGUGGGGUAGUGGCUUACCAAGGCUUUGACGGGUAGCCGGCCUGAGAGGGUGACCGGCCACCUUGGGCCUGAGAUACGGACCAGACUCCUACGGGAGGCAGCAGUGGAGAAUAUUGCACAAUGGGCGGAAGCCUGAUGCAGCAACGCCGCGUGCGGGAUGACGGCCUUCGGGUUGUAAACCGAUUUCGCCUGUGACGAAGCGUGAGUGACGGUAAUGGGUAAAGAAGCACCGGCUAACUACGUG
Molecule: ribosomal RNA, 468 nt
Filed under: uncultured bacterium
Lineage: Bacteria
Description: partial 16S ribosomal RNA
Rfam family: Bacterial small subunit ribosomal RNA
Source: RNAcentral